AUUGAACGCUGGCGGCAGGCCUAACACAUGCAAGUCGAGCGGAUGAAGGGAGCUUGCUCCUGGAUUCAGCGGCGGACGGGUGAGUAAUGCCUAGGAAUCUGCCUGGUAGCGGGGGAUAACGUCCGGAAACGGGCGCUAAUACCGCAUACGUCCAGAGGGAGAAAGUGGGGGAGCUUCGGACCUCACGCUAUCUGAUGAGCCUAGGUCGGAGUAGCUAGUUGGGGGGGUAAAGGCCUACCAAGGCGACGAUCCGUAACUGGUCUGAGAGGAUGAUCAGUCACACUGGAACUGAGACACGGUCCAGACUCCUACGGGAGGCCGCAGUGGGGAAUAUUGGACAAUGGGCGAAAGCCUGAUCCAGCCAUGCCGCGUGUGUGAAGAAGGUCUUCGGAUUGUAAAGCACUUUAAGUUGGGAGGAAGGGCAGUAAGUUAAUACCUUGCUGUUUUGACGUUACCAACAGAAUAAGCACCGGCUAACUUCGUG
RNAcentral lists this ribosomal RNA (484 nucleotides) under uncultured bacterium. Its description in RNAcentral is "partial 16S ribosomal RNA". It matches the Rfam family "Bacterial small subunit ribosomal RNA", at positions 30 to 507 of the family's 1533-position model. The record is from RNAcentral.